RNAcentral lists this long non-coding RNA (3716 nucleotides) under Ananas comosus (pineapple). RNAcentral's name for it is "long non-coding RNA (ACOM_LNC027665)". Lineage: Eukaryota; Viridiplantae; Streptophyta; Magnoliopsida; Poales; Bromeliaceae. The record is from RNAcentral.
GUGCAGAAGCGACUCCGACUCAGUCCAACACUCUCCAGAUGUGUCGACCAGUCACUAAUACUGUAGCCAAUCCUAUCCAAACCUCAGGAACACUACACUCUGCCCCUUUAUAAAAUAAAAAAUAUUAACUUCACCCUAUGCCGUUAGUGAUCCAUUAGGAUUCCGUUUAUAAAAUAUUAUUAUAUACUUUUUAUGCCAAAAAUUAGUCCAGUUCAGCCCAGAAAAAAUCAGCAUUGCACCAUCUACGGUCAACUUUAAAAUUAGAGCUAUUUAGCUGCAAACUGUAGCUCAAAGAAGGUAUGGACCACAUCCUAGCAUUCCCAACUCUAGUUAUGAACCAUCAAUUUUGAAGUUGGAGUAGGAAAACCCAUCAAAUUUAGCUCCCAAAUCUCCUACUCAAUGCUGUCAGCCUGCAACAACAUUCAAAGUCCAAAUAAAAAUCUUAUCGAAAAUCCACUUCAACAUUCAAAACUCCACUUCAACAUUCACUCUUUCUCUCUAGAUUGUCCACAAAAAGCUCACCAAAAAUCACAAAGAGAGCCAUUAAUAUUAGAGGGAUUGUGAUGUUGCUUGGACGGUUCAUACUCUCUAUUAUUAUAUUUAUAAUUUGAUUUGAUUACUUAUUGACUUAGAUUAGUCAAACCCUAUCACAUUAGAGGAGAGCUAACAAGUGGUUCAAAUUAUAUGUUUAACUCUNAUCUUGAUAAAUUUCCAACACAAACUAUCCCCUAAAAGCAAAUAUUUUUAACAAUAGAUCUUAUCUGAAUAAAUAAAUAUGCUAUUGAUAAAAAUGUAUAGAUCUUAUCUGAAUUGUAGAAUAAAUGUAAAAUUAAUCUUAAAAACUUUCAAUUUUGCUCCAUGAUCUUUCAUAGUUUGUUUUAGUAAAUUUAUAUAUAUAAAAAAAAAUUUAGGACCAUGCAUUUCUUUUCAACUUGAUAUUAUUAUAUUGUCUUUGAAAAAAAUCUUAUAUAAAAUAAUCUGAAAAGAUUUGAGAGAGAAUAGAUCUUAUCUGAAUUUUGCUACAUCACACUCCACCCAAGCAAAAUGACAACUUUACAAAAUUCUUCAAUGCCAAAAAGAGCUAUUUUCAAAUUUUUACUUGGCUAAAAUAUAUAAAAUUUUACUGUCAAAACUCAAAUUUUCACUUUUUUUUUCUGUCAUUUAAAAACAUAUACUCUGUGUCACGUCCCGGAUUACUCGUUUCCCCAGGCACGCCGACAAAUCCGCCGUAUACAAAGAAAUUUUUUCUAUAUACGAAGCGAUAGCUGUACCGGUAAUCACACAAUACUACAACCGUAGUGUAGAGCUGCUAAUAAGAAAUAAAAACAUAAAUAAUAACAGUGGUUCAAUAUAUACAUAUAGCAUCCGGGUACAAAAGUGCUCGCUCCAACGAGAUACAAAAUCAGUAUGUAAAGAACCAAAAGAACUACAACUACUUGUAGCUGGUAUGCUCUAAAUCAACAGCAACUAGGAAGGGAUCUAACUUGCGACUCUCUUUCCUAAAUCUAAAUCAGCAGCAGCAGCAGCAGAAGAAGAAGGCUCUGCAAAAGAUUCCAACAACUAGGCGUGAGAAUUACUACAAAAAGAAGUAGUUCUCAGUGGGUACCGCUACCGACCUCAACGGCUCGCCCACUAAGUCUACAGAUGUAUACACAAGAUAGAAAAGGAAGGUGAAACAAAUCUACAGCUAUAUGCCACUAUCCUAUCAUGAUCCAAUACUACUAUCUAUAGAAUAAAGCCAUCUCUGACCCAAUCUCACUAGGGACUGUAAACAUAUCCGUCUCAGGGAUUGAACACACCCGUCCCGCCUAUCGAAACUAUAUAGCUACCUCCACGCUAAGCAGUCCGGGGAGAGUAAGUCCAACCAGGACGAAACGACACCAACGCAAAUGUACAAAGCCCGACUCCUGAGUGGCACUCGUGGGCGCUACCCAACCGAAUAUGCAAGUAUAUCUCUGUCGAGCUCAAUCCGGCUCUCACAGGCUAUAGUCAAGUAAACAGGAUCUAACAAGUCUAACAACCUAAACUCACGUGCCAUCGGCACAAUCUGAUGUAAAAACGGCAAUCCGGGUCUACCGUUAAUCUCAACGGCACCCAACUGAGCGGAACAGCCUAAACUCUGCUGUAAAAAUAAGCUCGGCAUCCCAGCACGAGCGUAAAUACAUUCUACACUAUCCUGAGUAUCCACUGCCCACAAACUGCGGUGACACAAACAAACUACGGCUCCUAAAGCUAAAUCUGGUAGUUUUAACAUAUGACAGUGUAGAAUCGUAAGUUUUCUCCUAAGUCAAAAUCAAGUCAAACAUGUAUAUUUAACUAACAUUUAAGCUUCAAUUUCAUAUUCCAAUAAGCAUGCAAAUCCUCUAAUUGAGCUAUCUAACAUGAUAAACAACAAUCAAUAUACAUGCCGACAACUACAACUUAGAAGGAAAUCCAGUAAUUCCGGUAGCUUAACAUUCAACACACCUCUCGCGCAACUCCACGGCAGUAAAAAGGUCACGAAGUUGCUGGGAGCCUCAGCUGAAAUCACCCACAACCAGCAACUAUGCUACUCGAAGAAUCUAACCAAUAAAAACACCAAAAUCUCAAUACUAUACUCAAAUUCAGCAUUUAAGCUAGAAUUCACCUCAAUCACAAUGUCAACUUCACGUUCCAAUCUUCAAAUCUGGUGAAGUAAGGUUCCAAAUCCAGUGGAGAGUGAUAACACACAAGGCUCAGGUCGCAAUUCCAACUCCCUCUAAGAAUUAAUCCAUGAAAACCCCAAAAAUCCCAAUUUCAGCUCAAAAACUAUAGCAGCUAAGAAGAACAGCAAAUUGACUAUACUAACCUUAAUCAAUUUCUGUCAAAAUGGCUCCACGAAUUUCUCUUGAAGUCCAGGAUCCACAAAAUUAAGUUUCACAGCAAACGGAGCUUCCUACGUCGCACACGAGCCAAAACGUCGAAGGUCGCUGCUGAAAAUCUGCAGAAUCAACACUCCUCAAGCUUGGAAUGUGGAAUUUGAAGUAAUUUGAGGGACUUAGGUGCAAAAUCAGGCUUCACUGUGAAGAAGGAACGAAAAGAGUUCACAGGGGUCGAGUUCCAUCUAUUUAUAGGGAGUUAGAACGGUCCAAUAAGCCCCAGAAACAAAAGCUGCUAACCUGCAGUUUCAGGCGCCCGAAACCCCUUUCUGGGCUUCCGAAACCUCCAGGCUACACACUUGCUCCCCUUCGGUUCCUCCACCCGUGGUGUACUGCACCCAAAACCGGUUCCGGCGGACCUCACCUACCACUUGCCACGUGUCAGUGCAAACGAUAUUCACGAGGUGAACUUUCGGACCCACUUCUGGGCGCCCGAAACUAGGAUCCGAAUUGGCUUCGAGUUCUGCACAACCCAGCACUCAAGUUCUGGGCGCCCGAAUCUGGCAAAACUCUAGUUUUGCUUAUUUGAGUGCACCGAGUCUAUUUUUGCAUCCAUUUCGUGCAGAAGCAAUUCCGACUCAGUCCAACACUCUCCAGAUGUGUCGACCAGUCACUAAUACUGUAGCCAAUUCUAUCCAAACCUCAGGAACACUACACUCUGCCCCUUUAUAAAAUAAAAAAUAUUAACUUCACCCUCUGCCGUUAGUAAUCCGUUAGGAUUCCGUUUAUAAAAUAUUAUUAUAUACUUUUUAUGCCAAAAAUUAGUCCAGUUCAGCCCAGAAAAAAUCAGCAUUGCACCAUCUACGGUCAACUUUAAAA